CAGCUUAAACAUUUUGGAUGGUGGUAAGAUCCAAGAGAUUAAGAGAGUUAAGCGUGCUAGGACGGGAGUAGUCCUAGGAUGGGUGACCCCCUGGGAAGUUAGGGCGUCACAGAUGGUAUCAGAGCCAAUUACCAGCCGGAAGUGUGAGAUGAGUCUCGGCUGAGCCAGGGUCUGGAUGACGGAGCUAGCGAGAUGAGCUCUCACAUCGCCUGUACUUGUGAGUUGCGCCUGACGAGACGCACUGCGGCUUAAAGCGCAUGGGAGAUGUGAGAUCCCAGAUAUUCCUAUAUAUGAGAUAUAAUAGGCUAAACUUCUUACCCGCUUAAAGGCAUUUUGGGAUGGUGGCUAGACUCAAGAUCGUUUAAGAGAGUUAAGCGUGCCUAGAGCGGAAGUAGUCCUAGGUAUGGUUGACCUCCGGGGGAAUGUUGGGCUGCGCGUCAAUGGACCGAGGUAGUGGUCACACUGGACCACUCAUAUACCAGUUAUAUAAUAUAUAUAAUGUAAAUAUAUGUACUGUAUAUAUAUAUGAUAUAUAUAUAUAUAUAUUGUAUAUAUAGUAUGUAUUAUAUAUAGUAUAUAGAUAUUAUAUAUGUUUAUAUAUUAGUAUAGUUAUAUUAUAUAUUAUAUAUAUAUAUAUAUAUGUAUAUAUAUACAUAGUAGGUGUUACUUGCUAUUGAUGAGCACAGCAGCCUUGUGCUCUACUAACUUUUAAUCCCCAUCAAAGUAUUGAUCAGUGGUAGCGGUGAAAGGAAAAAAAAUAAUUAGAGUAAAAAUUCAAAGAGAACAGAAAUUGAGAAACACCAAUUUCUCUCUAAUUUACUCCUCCUUUCUCACCCAAACAUUAUCAAAUUUGAUGGGGCGGUUAAGAACUUAGGAGACAAAAGGUUGUUGUGCUCCUUAUAUAUAUAUAUAUAUAUAUAUAUUAUAUAUAUAUAUAUAUAUAUAUAUAUUAUAUGGCCAAUUUGCCAUAAAAAAUUCAUUUAUUUUGGCGCUUUUGCAAAACCGGUGCGCACUUUUUCGUUUUGCAGAUUCGUCGUCCUUUUUCGUGCCGCCCUGACAAAAUACCCUUUAUUACUUUUUCUACUUUCCGUCUUUCUCUCUGCCUUUCAUGUUUGCUAUCGUUUUGGUUUUUUUUUCUGCCGCGCGACGCGUUCCCCUCGAUCCUUCCUGCGUAUCGUCCCAUCACCGCCGCGUUCUCCCGAACCGCCCCGCCUCGCUCCCUCCCCGACGACCCGCCACCUCGACUGCCCCACGACGCUCUCUCCGCCGCCGGCCGCGCGAUUCUGUUUUUUUUCUCGCCGCGCCGCCCGUUCUCCUCGAAUCCUCCUGCGCCGUCCCCAUCACCGUCGCGUUCCCGAACCGCACCCUCCUCGCUCCCCCCGGCGACCCGCACCCCUCGACGGCCCCCACGGCCGCUCCUCCGCCGCCGGCCGGAGCGACCCCCGCCGGCCGGCGGCGGAGGAGCGGCCGUGGGGGCCGUCGAGGGGUGCGGGUCGCCGGGGGGAGCGAGGAGGGUGCGGUUCGGGAACGCGACGGUGAUGGGGACGGCGCAGGAGGAUUCGAGGGAGAACGACGGCCGCGGCGAGAAAAAAAAAAGAGCGAUAGAAUUACACCAUUACACCAUUACCAUUACAUCAUUACCAUUACACCAUUACACCAUUAGCAUUACACUAUUACACCAUUACACCAUUACCAUUACACCAUUAUUAUUACACCAUUACACCAUUACACCAUUUACGCCAUUAUACCAUUACACCAUUACACCAUUUGCCGACGGAGAAGAACACGCGCGGGUCUUUUUCAUUUUCUUCUUCUUUUUCAUUUUCUUCUUCUUCCUCCUGCGGAGGACCUCGACUCCCUCGAUCUCCGCUGACGGGGGCGCCCCUUCCGCCGCCGCCUCGGCGGCGCGCGGCGGCGCCGAUGGCGUCGUCGGACGAGGAGACGUUUUACACGCCGCAGCGCUCGGCGGAGUCGGCGUACAGCGACAGCCCCAGCAGCCCCAUCUCGCGGCGGUGGUAUCGAAAGCUCGUCGGCGAUGGUGAGGGAGCUGCUCGAGGUGUUGCUCGCGCUGUUGAGCUCGGGCUUGGCGGCCAACGACCUGCGCUGGUCGACGAGGCCGCGCAGGCCGCGGGCUGCGACGAGCGGAGAAGCUGCGAAGCUCGGGGCCAGCUCCGCCACCACCGCCGCGUUGCUCCGUCGCAGCCACUCAUUCUCCUCCACCAACGCCGUCGCUCCUCCUACGUUGGCGGCGACGGCGGCGGAGGCGGUAGAGGUGGGGCCGAGGACGAGGAAGCGAGGAGGAGAGGGGGAGUCAGUCUAGGGCUGGGGGUCCGCGGCGACGGGAUCGAAGAAAGGAGAGAGAAAAAAAAGAGGAGAGAGAAAAAUAUAUAAGAGUAUUUUGGUCAGUUUGCUGAAAAAGUGGACCGAACCUGCAAAAACGAAAAAAGUGGUCCGGUUUUGCAAAAAUCCAAAAUAAGUAGAUUUUUUAUGCAAAAAGGCCUAUAUAUAUAUAUAUAUAUAAUAAUUUAUUUUAUAAUAUUAAAUAUAUAUUAUUAUUAUAUAUUAUAUUAUAUAUUUAUUAUAUAAUAUAUUUUAAAUAUAUCUUGUUUAUAAAUAUAAAUUAUAAUAAUUAAAUAUAUUAUGAUAUAGUCGUAAUAAUAUAUAUUAGAUAAAAACUAUUUAUAUAUACUUUUUUCACUAUGUGCAUAAUAAUAAUUAUUAUAUAUUAAUACUACUUUAUUUUAUAAAAUAUUAUUAUAUAUAUAUUUUUUUCAUAAACGAGCUUUUUUUUUUUUUUAUACUUUACAAGCACAAACGGGAUCGAAUGAUAGAUUAUAAUUAUAUAUAAUAAUUAAUUUUAUAGCAGUGACUUGACUCAUCAACGGUGACCAUUGAAGUUUCUGGCCAGCCGCCCUGUUUUGAUCAUAACACUUUCCCCGUGGCCAAGUCUGCCCUCAUACCUUUUAUAUUAGUGCUCCUAUAUUAUAUUCCUCAUAUUCCAUUAUUAUUAUAAACACCAAAAAUCGCUAAACCCAAAAACUUCUCCCUCACCUCCACCCCCCCCCACCCAAUAUCAGUUCAGAUGAAACAUGCUGUACACAUGAGUCUGCAGUCGUGAGGGAUUUAUUUGCUGUGCAGAUCAAUAGCAUAUAUAUAUUAUAUAGAUAUAUAGUUUGGAAUAUGAAGCAGCAGCGAGUAGUUGUAGUAGAAGUAGGAAGAAGUGUAGUAGGUUGGUGGUGACGCGCGCGGUGUUUUGUUUGGAUCUGUGAUCGAUCGAGUCGUAUGUGGUUCACAACGUGUGUGGACGCGCAUGACGGGGAUAGAACUUUCAGUAAGGAUGGAAGGCAGGGGAAGAUCAGGUGGGGAAUGUGUUGUGCUCAUGGGCGCAACGUCCUCGACUUUAGGCGACUUCACUGCCUCCUCUUCACGGCCUCCCGAGUUCUCUCGGACCCGGCGGUUCUCUUCCAACUCGUCAGUGCCACCCACGUGUCGGCGGUAAUCAACUCGUUUUUUUUUUUUUCUUCUCUUUUCUUUACAACAUAAACACGUUCUCGAGAGACAAGUGACAAAAAAUUUGAUGGUUGGUAUCCAAAACAAGUUCGAUUCCUAGUCGAUUCACUUUCUUAGUAGUUUAUUUUAUAAUGAAAUAACGAAAGGUGACCAGGAUAGCUACCUAUCUCUUUUUCAAAAAAAUAAAAAAAAAACUUUUAGUUCUAGUCAUGUAUUGCCAGUUUUUUUUUUCUUAUUUUUUUUCGUCUAGUAUAGUUAUCGUGUAGUGGGUAUAUAUAGUAUAUAUUAUAUAUAUAUGUAUAUAAUAGUAUAUACUAUAUUAAUAAUUGCCCUUUUCACGAAUUUUAGUAUUUAUUAAAUCAAAAUCCAAUAUGUGUUGACUGAAUGAUAGGAUGAUAUUAGUCCUUAGGGUUGAUUGGUUCUCCAUUGGGUUAUAAUAUUUAAUCCAAUGGUUAAAAAUAAUAAAAGGAAUUGAUCUAAAGGCUAAACUUGAUAGUAAAAAGGGCCUUUUGCUAUUAAUAGUAUUCUAGCCUAACUCUCUCUCUCUCUCUAUAUAUAUAUAGAGCUAAGCUGGUAUACUAUCGGUAGCACGGAGCCCUCCGUGCUACCAAGUUGCUUUCAAUGAUGUAGUUUCUAAAUUGACGAUCGGCUCCCUUAGACUUGAUCUAUACUAUUGAAAGCAUUUGAAAAUUAAAUUUCAUAAUUUUUUUACAUCAUUUACCUAUUAAACGAGUAGUCUAAAAAUGAACGUUGAAAAUAAAAAUUUCAUAAAAAAUAAUGAUAAAAGAUUUGAGUUUAAGAUCAGAGGUACCGAUCUUACUCUAAAUAGUGAAAAGAAUUUUUUAUAAAAAUUUCGUCAGAUUUAGAUUGUUUUAUACUGUUAAAUUCACAAACGAAUCACAUCGACUAUUAAAAUUAUUAAUUUUGAGACCUUUUGAUCACUAGCUAAAUAAUGUCAAAAAAUUAUGAAGUUUAGUUUCCAAAUACUUUUAAUAGUGUAAAUCAAGUUUAAUUAAGCCGAUCGUCGAUUUGGAAGGCGCAUCAUUGAAAACAACUUGGUAGCACGGAGGGCUCGUGCUAUCGAUAGAAUACCAGCCUAACUCUCUCUCUCUCUCUCUCUCUCUCUCUCUCUAUAUAUAUAUAUAUAUAUAUUACGUCAUUAUCAUACUUAAAAGUUAUUUCGAUAAUAGGAUUUUCGAUUUGACGAUCGGCUCCGUUAGGUAUAAUCUACUUUAUUGGAACUAUUUAGAAACUAAAUUUUAUAAUUUUUUGAUAUUAUUUAUCACGUGAUCAAAAGGUCUCAAAUAUGAACUAUUUUAAUGGCCGGUGUGGCAUAUUUUUAAGUUCAACGGUAUAGAACAAUUCAAAUUAUAUGAAACUUUGAUAAAAAAUUCUACUUAACAUCCAUAACAAGAUUAAUACUUAUGAUUUAAAAUUUGAAUUUUUUAUCACUAUUUUUUAUAAGACUUUUAUUUUCAGUUUAUUCUUAGGCUACUCGUUUACUAGAAAAAUGGAGUCAAAAAAUUAUAAAAUUUAGUAUCUAGAUGGUUUCAAUAGCGUAGAUCAUGUCUAACAGAACCGAUCACUAAAUCGGUUGUUCCAUCAUCGAAAACAACUUACAAGAACGGAGGCCUCCGUACUUUCGAAAACAUUGGAGCCUAGUUCUAUAUAGAUAGUAUAGCUACCAUGCUAUUAGAAGAAGCAUAAUAGGAUUAAUGCUUUAGAUUUUUUUAGUUUUUGAAUCAAUCUUUUUAAUCAUUUCUGAUCUUUUGAUUAAUAUUAUUACCCUAUAUAAGGCACUCAUUCCUAAAGAGACCACUCAUAUGUAGGGGGGACCACUAUCAUCCUAACCAUAUAAUUCGUAAUCCAAAAGUUAAAAAGUAUGAAGCACCAAGUCCUUAAUGCUUAUGAAACAUAGUGUAGUUCUACACUAUAUAUAUAUAUAUAUAUAUAUAUAUAUAUAUAUAUAUAUAUAUAUAUAUAUAUGAGUCCGACUGAAAUACUAUCGAUAGCACCAAACAAUUGAUAAAAUUCAAGAAUAACAAUAUCUUAAGUAUGGCAAUAAUCUAAAUUUUUUUUUUUUGAGUUGUUGCCAUACUUAAGAUAUUGUCAUUCUCGAGUUUUUUUUUUAAAAAAAAUUAUUCAUCAUUUGAAUGUUUGUCAUAGUUGACAGUUUUUUAAUUUUCAGUAUUUGAUUCAACUAUAAUUAAUUUCUUAAUUUUAUCAUGAUCCUCCAUUAGUUUGAAAAUUUUACAUGUUCCUUUAUUCCAAAAAAAGAUCCUUUAAUUUAUAAGUAUAAUAUCUUUGUUGUUCUUUAGAAAAACUAAGAGAUUAUUAAUUUCCUUAAACAUAAAAUAUAAUCAGAAGCAGACUCAAUCACCGAGCCUUGAUUUUUCACUUCAAUUUGAACCAAACAGGUCUAAAUCUAGUUUUUAUUUUUAGUUAUAAAUUUGAUUUAUUAACUAUACAAUACUUAAAUUUAUAAAUUGUAUUUUUUAUUUUUUUUUAUUUUUUUAUAGGAUUAAGUCGUAUAUAUGCCUAGAUCUGCGUGACAUUUAAUUAAUUAUAUUUUGGUGGUACUUAGACAGCUAAUGAAUGAAUGGAUCUGAGCUGUUAAGAAUUGAAUUUGAUGUUGAAUUGACUACUAAAAAGCUAUCAAAUUUAAUUAUUAUUUACUAGCACUACAACAAAAACUGUUUAUAGCGACACUUUUAAAUGUAGGUACAUGUUAAAAAAGUGCUGCUAGCUAAAAUUACCGACACUUUAAAAAGUGUUGCUAUAUGGGGGUUCGCUAGGUAUAUAGUGACAGUUAAAGAGUGUCGCUAUAACCUAAAAGAGUGCUGCUAAUUUACCAACACUUAUUUAAGCAUUUAGCAACCGCCGAAACUCUAUCUCGUUGGCUGCGGUGACGGAGGAGGACGACAGGAAAGGCUCUUCGUCUAAAAUUUCAGUGGAUUGAGUGAAGAGAGAAGAAAAAAUGGUAAUUAAUUUUUUUUUUUUUUCUUUUCUGUUUGUAAUCGGGCCAAAUGGACUGGGUGUGGUGGGUUGAGUAGAGUAAUCUUUUAUUUUUGGUUGGAUUGGGCUUUAUAUUUAGGCAUUAGUAGAUAUUUUUUUAAGUUUUAGCAUAAAUGGGACACUUACUUAAAAGUAUCCCAAAUAUGUGUCCCUAUAAUCUAAUUCUGUUAUAGUGUAGCUGCAUUUAAUUAAUUUUAAAUUAAAUUAUACAUUUUUUAUUUUCAAAAUUUUGAAUUAUUAUAACUAAAUCUUAGAGUCCAAUUUAGUUACUUAGAUAUGCAUAUUUUAUGUAGUGAUGUGAAAAUAAUGCGACAUAGUAGUUAUAUCUCUCUAGUGGCUAAAAUACUAUUAUAUUAUUAUAAUAUCGGAACAUAUAUAGCAUCAUUUAGUCAACUUAAUUAAACUUUAGUAAAAAUUAUAAUAAAUUAAACUUAGAAACUAAAAUAACAUGUGCCACCAAAAUUUGAAGAUCAAAAGCACAAUUUUCCUAGCAAGGUGGACCAACUCCCUAUUAACUCAAAAUCUCACAUGAUCAAAUUAAUAUUAUGUGCCGAAAACGCUUCAAUAUUUGUUAAUUUUGCGUGGUGUUUUCGAUUGUAUAGAUAUCAUAUAUGUCAACACAUUAAGCUGACGUAUUCUGAUGUGACGUAUAGAUAACGAUAAUAAGGGGAAGGUAGGGAAGCCGGCGUUUCUGGAGGAGUGGGUGACGACACUGACGUCGAUAUCGGCGGGGGAGUCGAAGUUCAAGGUGACGUUCGACUGGGACGACAGUCAGGGCAUCCCCGGCGCGGUGAUCGUCAAGAACAACCAUCACUCGGAGUUCUACCUCAAGACCCUCACCAUCGAAGGCGUCCCCGGCCGCGGCCGCAUCCACUUCGUCUGCAACUCCUGGGUCUACCCGGCCGAUAAGCACAAGCAGGACCGCGUCUUCUUCACAAAUGAUGUAUUUGGUGGGAGAACUAAAACUGUCAGAAUAUCUGAACGAAAAAACCUUGAAUGGUUCUCCUGUGUGUUACCUAAAAGAUCGUUUUGAUAGUAAACGAAUAUAAACCAGUAAUACUUAACACUCGUACUCACAUCAAUGAUAAAUAUGAUAAGUAUGUGAAAAUUAAUUAUAUGGGCAUGUUUGGUUCGCCGAAAAUGUAACAUCGAAAGUGGUACUUUUAGAAAGUGACGUUUUAUCAAUUGUUUAGUUUACGAAAGUGGAUAUGAAAGUCACUUUACGAAAGUAAACUGAUAAAGUGAGUUAUAACUAAAUCUCACUUUUUUUAUUUCGACUAAAAAAAUUCGGAAGUCACCGAAAGUGGAGAGCUUAUCUAAAAGAUUAUAUUUGGCCUUAACUUUAAUACUUAAAUUUAUUUUUAAAGUUUAAUUUGACUUUAAAUUUGAAUUAAAAUUAUGAUCACAUUUUGAAUUUUAUUUGUAAAUUAAAAUUUAACAUAAAAUUUUUUAAAUUCAAAUUUAUGACUUUAUAUUUAAAUGUAAAAUUUAAAAUUUAUUUUUAUUUAAAUUGGAACUCUAGAAUUUAAUUUUAAAUUUUAAAUUUUAAAUUUUAAUCAAAUUAUUUUUAGUUAAGAACUUCAAUUUUAAUUCAAAUAAAAUUCAAAUUGAACGAAACGGAUAACAUUUUGUUCUUACUACAUUUGUUCUUCAUCUAUACUGUUUGGCAUUUUGAUCUUUUUUUUGACACAUUUCAAAUUGUAGUUCCUGCUAAGUAGCCUAAAUCUCAAUCUUGAUGCAGACAUACUUGCCAAGCAAAAUGCCGGAGCCGCUGCGGCCAUACCGGCAACAAGAACUGCUCAACCUCAAAGGCGCCAACGUCGCGCCGGGACCGCUCAAGGAGCACGACCGCGUCUACGACUACGACGUCUACAACGAUCUCGGGGACCCCGACAAGGGUGCAAAUCAUAUGCGCCCUAUACUUGGUGGCUCCCGAGAGCAUCCCUACCCCCGUCGCUGCCGCACUGGCCGCCAUCCUACAAAAACCGGUACACCUAUUUCUCGUGAGCUGAUUUUGAUAUUGACAGAUAGAUUUAUUGAAUAGAUUUGUUCAAACCGAUCAUUAUUUAGUGACUGACCGACUGAAUUUGACCAAAUUCAUUGAUACUGAUGUGACCGUGAUAAAAGAGGCUUUCGUUUCUUGUACUUUGAAUUGGAUUAUUUAUAAUGAUGAGCGCAAUCGAUCUCAUUUCGUAAGCAUCAACCAUCAUGCAGAUCCGAAAUCCGAAAGCAGGCUCCCGCAGCUGAGCCUAGACAUCUACGUCCCCCGCGAUGAGAAAUUCGGGCACCUAAAGAUGUCGGACUUCCUCGGAUAUGCACUCAAAUCCGUGACGCAGGCUAUCCUCCCGACACUCCACACCAUCUUCGACAUGACGCCAAUGGAAUUCGAUUCUUUUCAAGACAUCUUGAACCUCUACGAAGGCGGUAUAAAACUCCCGAACUCCCCGGAGCUCGAGGAGGUUCGCAAGCAAAUCCCCUUCGAGAUGAUCAAGGAGCUGUUCCGCUCCGACGGCGAGCACUUCCUUAAGCUUCCCUUGCCCCAGGUCAUCAAAGGUAACUUAGUGCUCGUUAAGACCAAAUGGAUUUUGAUAGAUAAACGAUUUUUCUUCGCAUGUACUAAACAUUUGACGGUUAUGCCAAUGAUCAGAGGAUAAGUUUGCGUGGAGAACCGACGAAGAGUUCGCGCGCGAAAUGCUCGCAGGAGUGAACCCUGUCGUCAUAAGGCGCCUCCAGGUAAAUCUAGGAUCCGGCGCAUCAUGUGACCCACUAUUAUAUUAUUUUCUUGUGGAAUUAGACAAGUCGCCAAAUCACGUAAAUUUCUGUGUCUACGCUAUGAAUUCUUAUUCAAUCUGCAUGUUUUUUCGUAAUGCGUAUCGUUCGUUUAAUUACUCUCCAUAUAAAUGUUGUUAGUUAUAGAUAAGUGUGGUUUAAUUUGGGACUAAAAAGUGUUCUUAUUCAUAUGUAGGAAUUCCCUCCAGCUAGUAAGCUUGAUCCUAAAGUGUAUGGUAACCAAACUAGCACAAUAACAGCAGCUCACAUUCAGAAGAACCUUGAAGGACUAAAAGUGGAUCAGGUACAUAUGCAUGUUUGGUUUGCUUUUAGUACAUACAUUACACAUUAUAUAUGCAUGUUAGCUGUGUUAUGAUUAUUCUCUGGUCAUUUUUUGUUAAAUGGAUAUUUUGAGUUUCAUGGUAUAUUUCUUGAGAGAAAGGUAGCAUUCUUACAAUUUUCGUUCAUUUUUUCAUAAAUGAACUUAGCUGCAAACAUAAAACAAUUAGGCUUCAAACUUGCGACCUCAGGUAUCGACCAUCAAGUGUUUUGUCAUUUGCAUUAGGAACUGUCGAUGUCUAGAUAAAAAAUAUUAGACCCGUGCAUGCAAUGCUACAAUUAAAAUAAGAACAAAACAAGAAAAAAAUGAUGUUCUAGCUUUUUUUUUUUUUGAUUUUUUUAUAAACUUAGGUGAAAAACCCACUUCCUUCAUUAUUUCUUAAUUGAAAGAGAGAACUCCCAAGAAAACUACAAAGAGAGGAUCUUCCUAGCUAGUUAGUUGGGAUAUUCAAACAAAACCCCCUUUUUCUGUAAAAUUCUGGAGAAUUUUGAUGCAUCCAAAUAAAACCUAAAAUAGAUUUUUUUUAUUUUUUUAUUUUUUUUUUGUUUCAUUACCGUUUCUUCUCAGAUCGAUCUUUUCGAUUACAAGCCGCUACACAACGCGAAUGGUUUUUCUGAAAUAUGUAACAAUAACCUGCUGCAGGCAUUAAGGAGCAACAGGCUCUUCAUUCUGGACCACCAUGAUGCAUUCAUGCCCUACCUAAACAGGAUCAACUCACUUGGCCACAUGUUCAUAUAUGCUACCAGGACUCUCCUGUUCCUCAAGAGUGAUGGCACCCUGAAGCCACUUGCAAUUGAGCUCAGCUUACCCCACCCUGAUGGGGACAAACAUGGUGCUGUCAGCAAAGUCUUCACUCCGGCAGACAGAGGUGUUGAGGGAUCAGUUUGGCAGCUGGCCAAGGCUUAUGCUGCUGUUAAUGACUCUGGUUAUCACCAACUCAUUAGCCACUGGUAUGUUCAUAUUAUAUAUAUAUAUAUAUAUAUAUAUAUAUAUAUAUAUAUCCUCACAAUAUAUACUUGUUUGGUGUUCUAUUUUAUAAUUAACCAUCCAUAUAUGCGCAAAUUGCACCAUUAGUUUCUGAAUUAAGUGCUCGAGUUUUGAUCUGUCGCAUCGCGGCAUCAAACUUUUAGAAUACUUCAAUCUUAUUUCGAAGUCCGCAAGUCUAGCUAGUCUACAAGUCGGUGUAUGUAACAACAGUAACACUCUUUAAUGUUCCGAAUUUAGCUCACUGAAGAAGUACUCCGAAUUAAAAACAUCGUCUGAUUGGAGGAUCCGCCGAAUUCGUAGUACUACUCUUCCACUUAAGAACUGACGUGAAUUACAGAAACUGAGAUUAGUGCGUCCUUCACGUGAGCCAGAGUCGCUGAUUAGCUCUUUCGAGAAUCAGGCUGAGAGUAACGGUUCCGCGUGUCUCGACGUGCAGGCUGAACACGCAUGCGGUGAUCGAGCCGUUCGCAAUCGCGACGAACCGGCAGCUGAGCGUGACGCACCCGGUGCACAAGCUGCUGAGCCCGCACUACCGCGACACCAUGAACAUCAACGCCCUCGCCCGCCAGACCCUCAUCAACGCCGGCGGCAUCUUCGAGACCACUGUCUUCCCCGGCAAGUAUGCCCUUGAGAUGUCCUCCGUCGCCUACAAGAACUGGAACCUCACCGAGCAGGCCCUCCCGGACGACCUCGUCAAGAGGUAACAAUAACUAACUGGAUCGAACUGAAAAUAUUAAUUUACUACUCUACGUAAGGGUGUGUGUGAUUUAACGUCCUUGAUGAUAAUUUUUUAAUUAUUUUUAACGCACACACACACACACACACACGUGUGUGUGUGUAUAUAUAGUAAUCAUUGUCCGUUUGAAAUACUCUUCUAUUAGUCGAUGAAAUAUUUUAUAAUUGUAAAAUUUAUAAUUUAGAAAUUUGAUUGAGAGUGCUAUGCUUCUAAAAGCAGGGGACCUCCGUGCUAUCAGUAUUUUCUCUAGGAUAUGCUGCUAAUAGAAGAUCUGCUUCGUUAUACUUUGAUCUAUGCUAUUUGAAGUAUUUAUAAACUAAGUUUUAUGAUCGAUUUUUCGAUAAUAUUAUUUAUUGAUCGAAAAGGUCUCAAAAAUUAAUUAUUUUAAUAGUCAAUAUGGGAUACUUGUAAGUUCAACGGUAUAAAAAUACUCAAAUUAGGUGAAAUUUUGAUAGAAUAUUUAUCUAAGAUAAUUAUCUCCGAUAUAAAAUUCAAAAUUUUCUUCAUCACUUUUUAUGAAAUUUUUAUUUAUAAUUUUUCAUUUUAGAACAUUCAAUCACAAGCCAAAUGAAAUCGAAAAAAUUAUAAAAUCUCACUUCUAGAUACUUCAAAUAGUAUAGAUUAAGUCUAACGGCACAGAUCAUCAAGAAAAAAACACACACACACAGAGUAAACUCGCUCUAUAAAUUUUAUUUUUUUUAAUUUUUAAUCAUUUGCUAAGUAAAAUUGGCUGCAGGAAGCACUAGCAUCCCCCGCAUUCAAAAUGUAAGUUGAUAGUAAAUAAAUAGACCUGCUGAACUUGGAUUCUGUUUUUCAGAGGGAUGGCGGUGGAGGACCCGUCGAGCCCGUACAAGGUCCGGCUGGUGAUCAAGGACUACCCGUACGCCGCCGACGGCCUGGCGAUCUGGUGGGCGAUCGACGCGUGGGUGAACGAGUACUGCUCCCUCUACUACCCGACCGACGCCGCCGUCCAGGCCGACGCCGAGCUGCAGGGCUGGUGGACCGAGGUCCGCGAGGCCGGCCACAGCGACCUCAAGGACGAAACUUGGUGGCCGAAAAUGCAGACACUUAAGGAGCUCACGAAAACCUGCACCACCAUCAUCUGGGUCGCCUCCGCGCUCCACGCCGCCGUCAACUUCGGCCAGUACCCCUACGCGGGCUACCUCCCGAACCGCCCCACCGUCAGCCGCCGCCCCAUGCCCGAGCCGGGCACCCCCGAGUACGCGGAGCUCGCCAAGGACCCGGAGAAGGCGUUCAUCCGGACCAUCACCAGCCAGUUCCAGACCAUCCUCGGGAUCUCGCUCAUCGAGGUGCUGUCGCGGCACUCGUCCGACGAGAUCUACCUCGGCCAGCGGGACACGCCGGAGUGGACGGCGGAGCAGCGCGCGCUCGACGCCUUCAAGCGGUUCGGGGACCGGCUGGUGGCGAUCGAGAACCGGAUCGCGCGGAUGAACGCCGACCCCAGCCUGAAGAACCGGAACGGGCCGGUGAAGAUGCCGUACACGCUGCUGUACCCAAACACGUCCGACGUGACCGGCGUCGGCGGGCUCACCGGAAAGGGCAUCCCCAACAGCAUCUCGAUAUGAUGAUGAAUCAGUAGUAACAUGCAUGCAUGCAUGCAUGCAUGGCUCGGUGCAAUAAUAAGUGUAGCUAGUGAGAGUUGAGUGUAUGCGUUCUAGCUAGUUAAUUGGGAGGAGAGAUGAGUUGUUAGUGGUAGUUGAAGGCCAUUUGUUUGAUAAUAACAAGGUUCUUGAGUUAUAUAUUAAGGAUGUGUAAGAAUUGAGUUACUUAUAUUUGCUUUAGCAUAAAUAUAUGCUAGCUCUUAAGCUUAUAGUAGGAGAUUGCUUAGCUUCCUUUUUUUUCUUUUUUUUCUUUUUUUUGGCCUUUAAGAAUGCUUGGAAGGAUUUGUAUGCUAAAUUCAUUAAUCGCUAACUAGAUACUAAUUAGAUGAGAGUCGACCUUAAUUAUACCGUGGUGUGAUUUGUAGAGAACCAUACUGAUCAUUGUUUUUCCAGUUUUUAAUGCAAAUCAUCAACAUGCAUGAGCAUCACUAUAAAAAAAAUCUAGGGCACUUUUUAGACGACGUUUAAGGACUAAGGGCACUUUUUAGACGACGUUUAAGGACGUGUCUCCAAACAUUCCUACAAUAUAGCAAUUACUAACGCUUUAGAAAGCAUCAUUGUAUUGUGUGAAAUUGUCAAUUAUAUCAAACUAAUUUAUCGAAUGAUAAACUUCAUUGUUAUUUUUAAUUUGUUGACGCUUUAAAGCUUUAGGAUUUCGGAAUAUAUUUUACCGACACUUGGUACAAGCACCGGUAUAUAUGUGACGACUCUUUAUUUAUCGAUACUUUUAAAUAUAACGAUAAACUAUUUUGAAAUGCUUUUAAGCAUUGUUAAAUAUUGAAAAAAGUGUUCUUAAAUAUUAACUUUUUUGUAGUGUGUAAGUGUUAUUGGAUAAAGUAUCAUCUAAGUAGUAAUCAUUAUGAAAAUAUCUUCAACAAACUCUCUGCGGUAGGAGUACAAGUAUCAAAUUGGAGCUUUUUAUUUUGCUUUGAAUUUCUUAUCAAAUUUUAGGCACAAUAGAUACUUCUUUAUGAAACACUCUAUUUGUAUAUGAUUUAUUCUUACUGACAUUAGGGGUUACAAACUUACAAUAGGUAAGAUUAGUAAUUCCGAUUUCUUUUCUCACAACAGUCCAGUGCCAUCAAGCUGCUGGUAAAUCCUUUGCUUACUGUAACAUCACUCUCUCACCUCAUCCUCUUUAAUACAACAUGUUUUGGGUCAAAUACUAGCCUUGCGAUCUUUUCAGGCUCACAUGUAUCAAAGUGUUCUAAUUUUCUGAACACUGCUCAUCCCAAUCAUGUAUAGUCGAUCACUGGGCACUUCAUGGGCCAAAUCCAGAUCCAAUUUAUGUAUUCGAAGAGGCCCUUUUUUUAUCUUUUUUUCUUUUUUAACCUAAAGUAGAGCCAAUUGAUUGUUUGAAUUAUUGCAUUCGUAUUAAUGACUGCAUAUAGAUGCUUGAUUACAGGAAAAAUAUUGGUUUGUGACCAAGGCUUGAACUAGCCGGUUGGAGACUCGGCUCUGAUGGACGCAGUAUCGCCAUGCACGUUGUCACGGGGUCAGAUUUUUCUCCUUGAAAAUCCCUGUAAGACGCCCAAGUAUCGUACAUCUAGGUAGCCUUCUCAACUUCCUAGUACAAGGAUGCUUCAAAACUUAGUAACGGAAUACCAACUUAAGCAUUUUAACCAAACAUGCUCCUCUGCGAGCCUCACUGUUUAGGGCUAUGCCUUACAUCAAAUUCCUUGUCGGACUCCACAAGUUCCCAAUGAACAACCCUACCAUAGAGAUAGGCCAAAAGCCGAUCGAAUUCAUUCUGUCUCACCAGACGAACCCUCCUUAGGAGUGCUAUUCAGUCGAAUGCCUCGUUGCCCUCCAAGCAAGACACAUUGCUAUCGCAAAUUCUCCCCAACUUAAAAGUCUUAUUUGAUUAUAGCUGACUGUCUCACUCUCCCGACUUGGCCUGUAUAUCAAAAGUGCUCAAGUCAAGACUCCGCGACACCGCACGCUUUGAAGGGAUCUCUCGAAUAAAAGUCCUUCCAACAGCAUUAUCUCUAGCGCCUUACAACGCUCACGACCAUACCAUUCAACAUCUUGUUUAUGCAGCCUACUCGCUUGGUCCAAAUACAUUACCUAAUCGAACUACCCAAGUGUAAGUAGCAAGCUAGCACAAAUCUCAAACCCAAUGACUUAGUGAGACACUUUGGAAGUCAACUCUCUGCACAUUUGUGCCUUUUGUUUCGCGUGCGCGUCUCGAGAGCACUAUUACUUUUGGCGAGUAAAGACAACAUGCCCACACUGAAUCAUCGGCCGUCUACAUGACCAUUUCCUUUGUCGCGUUUAGGCCCCUAAUUCACCUCAUCAUAAGCUACUUUACUGAUUCAAGGUCAAUCUGUUCCACUAGCCGCUUGGUACCUUCGUUACCCAACCAAGCCCGAUUGCUCACACCCUCUGUUCAACCCUAAGGCUCACUUAUGGAUCUUAUCAUCGAUCAUUCUUGCCUAAUGAGCUUCAUAGUUACCACACACCAUUAGUCCUUAGGCCAGCAUCCUGCCCUGUGACGGGAGGCCAGGUUGAGCCGAGUCACAUUCAAAAUGGCGUGAAGCUGGGUAGGCCGAGUCAUGUUCGAAGUUGUGUGAGGCUAGGUGGGCCGAGUCACAAUUGAGAUCCGUGGGCGCUAUACCUGUACAUUUUAAGUGAAUUGGUUGCGUAUUUCUAACAGCUCGAGAUUUUGGGAUUAAUGGUUAGCCCCAACGAUCUAAUAAGUGGUAUAAAAGCCAAAGGUCACGGGUUCAAUUCCCGCAUGCUGUAAAUGGGCUAGCAUCCUGCCUUGUGGCAGGAGACCGAGUUGGGCCGAGUCAUGUUCGAAAUGGCGCGAGGCUAGGUAGAUCGAGUCAUGUUCGAAGUGGCGUGAGGCUGAGUGGACCGAGUCACAAUUGAGAUCCGCGGGCGCUGUAUCUAUACGCUUUAAGUGAAUUGGUUGCAUAUUUCUAACAGCACGAGCUUUUGGGAUUAAUGGUUAGCACUAACGAUCUGACACCAUUGGAGAAGUUGGGACUACUUCACAAGUGUUCUACCCUCCUCACCCCCUUCUUUGGCACCAUGGGGGUACAAAGGUACUCUACUAAUGGUAUGCUUCUAGUCCGUAUAUGCGGUACCAAUAUCUUCAUCACGACAUAGGUCAUUGCUAGGAAAUUACCUCUAUUGACCCAUUCGCAAUGGCACACAUGAUGGAGUGUCUAAACUUCACAACUGCAUAACUUUGUCAACUGAAAUACCUUCCAAAAAUGGCACACUAGGAUGUGACGGUUGAGCCCAAUCAAUCAGCACAUAACAAACUCCCUACUCAAGCCAUCGAUGCCCUUGUCGAUGCUCAACUAUGUUACGACAAGUGCACAAACGGAAACGAAAAUGGCGAAUACAAAAUAAACAAACCACAAACAGAAAUAGAAGAAUACACAGAUUUAUGUGAAAAAUCUAUUGCAGGAAAAAACCACGGGCGAGAGAGACGAGAACUUCACUAUCGAAUGAAAAAGAGAACACAAUGUUAAGAGAGUACAACCAACUUCAAUAUGUCGCCUCUAGGGCAAAAAUGGCAAAGGAAAUUCUUAACGGGUUUCGGAUCUGAUCCAUACCGUGGGGGCCGUACCCCCCGGCGAACGUCAGUGGUGGGUUAUGGGCUCGGGCCUGUCGGUCCGAACCCUCCGCUACCCACCACAAACAUUCAUUUUUUCUUUACAAUUUUUAUUUUUCAAUUUGGUCGCACCGCGAAACUGUCGACAAGUCGAAAUUCCGAACUGAAGUCGAUUAUCAAUUUCGAAUCACAUCUAACAAACUACUUCACCACGAGAACUUCGAUAUUCACAAUAAUAUCAAUCUCAAGACUAGAGCCACCCACGGCCUUUACAUCCCAUGUCACACUGAUUUUCCAACAACCAAUUUGCUGAACGACACUUCCCCACUUAUCGAUUCUUCCAAACUGGACACUUUAUGAACACAAUAUUCUACCCCACUAAGUUAGAACCCUCUCGGCCUUGGUGCAUUCCACACACUACACUAACUUCUCUCCAGAACUAGAAUUUUGAUAUUAUAAUCCAUCGGAUACCAAGAUUUUAUUAACACUCUUUUGCAAUCUGGUUUUAUCUGUCGGAGCUACUCGGCCUUAACAUACGUGUUGCCUUGACUUAAUCUAAUUCUCUCAAGUUCAGUAGCCAACAUUGUGACUUCAACUUAUGGAAGUAGUCCUUUAUUAAGUAACAAUCUCUGCUCAACAUUUUUGCUUAAUUACAACAAAUGGAAUUACAUUCAAAUUUAUUAUUCUUAGCUCCAUGACAGCAAUUGACGAAACUAAUUUCAGAUUAAAAGUAAGCUUACCUAUUUAAUCACCAUGUAAAUAAAAAUGUAUUUUUCUCUUAUUUAUUAAGUUAAUCUUAUCUUUUUAAAUAUAAACUGAUAAAAUUUAUAAAUGCAGUUUCCAACCGCAUGUAACAAAGCAAGUUAAUUGAUCAUUUUGUAGGUGCAAAUGCACUUAUAAACUACGUACAUCUAAGCUACAAGUACUGCAAUCGAAGUUGCAAUUAAUGAAUAAAUAUUAUGUUCGCCUUCGUAAAAAAUAAUGAACCAAAAUACAUUAUUUGGUUAUUUGUUGCUAUUAUUUGCAUUUGCCUCUCUAAAUAGGGUCUAAAUUAUAGGAAUGAGUCAGGAUUUAUGUAGUAGGAAGCACUCCAAGUCGUGAGGAGUGGGACCAAAUAAGUGUUAAUAUUAGCGGGUGUUUGGUCCUGUUUUUGAAAAGUGAUUCUGAGUCCAAGAAUAAUUUUGGACUUAGUUUGAGUGUUUGACAACAAAUAUUGAAAAAUCUGAUUCUUCUUUUUACAAUCAGAAAACUGAUUUUGAAGGCUCCAGAAUCAGAAACAGAAAAAAGUUGCUUCAUAAAUCUGAUUCUGAUUUUAAACUCAAACUUCAAAUUUUUAUUUUAAUUUUAGAUUCAAAGUUUAAAUUUAAAUUUAAUUCUAAUUUUUAAAUUUUAAAUUCAUAUUUGAAUUUUUAAAUUUCAACUUUUCAAAUUUAAAAUUCUAAAAUUUAGAUUUUAAAUUUUAAAUUUUGAAUAUUAAAUUUAAAUUUCAAAUCUCACAUUUUAAAUUUUAAAAUUCAAAAUUUCAAUGUUCAAAUUUAAAAUUUAAGAUAAAAUUUAAAUAUUUAUAAUUUAGAUUUUAAAUUUUAAAAUUUAAAAAAUUUUAAAUUUUAAAUUACAAGUUUUAAUCUUCAAAUUACAAAUUUUAAAUUUUUAAAAUUCAAAUUUUAUAAAAUGUAAAUUUUAAAUUUUUAAAUUUUAUCUUAAAUUUUAAAUUUUAAAAUUUAAAAAAUUUUGAAUUUUAAAUUACAAGUUUUAAUAUUCAAAUUACAAAUUUUAAAUUUUUAAAAUUCAAAUUUUACAAAAUAUAAAUUUUAAAUUUUAAAAUUCAAAUUUUAUAAAAUAUAAUUUUUAAAUUUUUAAAUUUUUAAAUUUAAAUUUAAAAUUAAAUUUAAAUUUAAAUUUUAAAUUUUAAAUUUCAAAUUUCAAAUUUAGAUUUUUAAUUUUCAAAUUUAUUUUUAAAUUAAAAUAUAAAAUUUUAAAUUUUGUACAAAUUUGAAAUUUAAAAUUUUGAAUUUUAAUUCAAAUUCAGAUUUUUAAUUUAAAUUUUAAAUUAUUUUAAUAUAAAAUUUAGUAAAAAUAUUAAUAUAUGCAAAUAUCAAAAUAUUUUUGUUAAACAACUUUAAAAAAUUACUUCAAAAAAAUCGCUUUUAUCUAAACUCAACCAAACGCUCUACAGCUUUUAACCAACAUCAAUUUUUCAAAUCAAAAUCAGUUCUGUAGAAAUUAUUUUUUCAGAAUAUAGGCCAAACGAGCAUUUCAUUUGAUUUUAGUAAUUUAAAACUCUAUUUUACUCCGUGGACUUUUCGGACAGCCCAACAUCCUAUGGACUUUAAUGGACCUUACUUGGGAAUCCGUACCUAAGUUUCUAUAUGUAAGUAUUAGUCCAAUAUUGAAAACUAAAGACUAGUAGUUGCUUCUCAUAUACUCCAUCAUUAUCAAAUUAGUUGUUUGNCAUCGGAUACCAAGAUUUUAUUAACACUCAGGAGCUACUCGGCCUUAACAUACGUGUUGCCUUGACUUAAUCUAAUUCUCUCAAAGUUCAGUAGCUGCAACGUACAUUGUGACUUCAACUUAUGGAAGUAGUCCUUUAUUAAGUAACAAUCUCUGCUCAACAUUUUUGCUUAAUUACAACAAAUGGAAUUACAUUCAAAUUUAUUAUUCUUAGCUCCAUGACAGCAAUUGAAGAAACUAAUUUCAGAUUAAAAGUAAGCUUACCUAUUUAAUCACCAUGUAAAUAAAAAUGUAUUUUUCUCUUAUAUAUUAAGUUAAUCUUAUCUUUUUAAAUAUAAACUGAUAAAAUUUAUAAAUGCAGUUUCCAACCGCAUGUAACAAAGCAAGUUAAUUGAUCAUUUUGUAGGUGCAAAUGCACUUAUAAACUACGUACAUCUAAGCUGCAAGUACUGCAAUCGAAGUUGCAAUUAAUGAAUAAAUAUUAUGUUCGCCUUCGUAAAAAAUAAUGAACCAAAAUACAUUAUUUGGUUAUUUGUUGCUAUUAUUUGCAUUUGCCUCUCUAAAUAGGGUCUAAAUUGUAGGAAUGAGUCAGGAUUUAUGUAGUAGGAAGCACUCCAAGUCGUGAGGAGUGGGACCAAAUAAGUGUUAAUAUUAGCGGGUGUUUGGUCCUGUUUUUGAAAAGUGAUUCUGAGUCCAAGAAUAAUUUUGGACUUAGUUAGAGUGUUUGACAACAAAUAUUGAAAAAUCUGAUUCUUCUUUUUACAAUCAGAAAACUGAUUUUGAAGGCUCCAGAAUCAGAAAAAAGUUGCUUCAUAAAUUUGAUUCUGAUUUUAAACUCAAACUUCAAAUUUUUAUUUUAAUUUUAGAUUCAAAGUUUAAAUUUAAAUUUAAUUCUAAUUUUUAAAUUUUAAAUUCAUAUUUGAAUUUUUAAAUUUCAACUUUUCAAAUUUAAAAUUCUAAAAUUUAGAUUUUAAAUUUUAAAUUUUGAAUAUUAAAUUUAAAUUUCAAAUCUCACAUUUUAAAUUUUAAAAUUCAAAAUUUCAAUGUUCAAAUUUAAAAUUUAAGAUAAAAUUUAAAUAUUUAUAAUUUAGAUUUUAAAUUUUAAAAUUUAAAAAAUUUUAAAUUUUAAAUUACAAGUUUUAAUCUUCAAAUUACAAAUUUUAAAUUUUUAAAAUUCAAAUUUUACAAAAUAUAAAUUUUAAAUUUUAAAAUUCAAAUUUUAUAAAAUAUAAUUUUUAAUUUUUUUAGUUUUUAAAUUUAAAUUUAAAAUUAAAUUUAAAUUUAAAUUUAAAUUUUAAAUUUUAAAUUUUAAAUUUCAAAUUUAGAUUUUUAAUUUUCAAAUUUAUUUUAAAUUAAAAUAUAAAAUUUUAAAUUUUGUAGCAAAUUUAAUUUACAAAUUUUGAAUUUAAUUCAAAUUCAGAUUUUAAUUUAAAUUUUAAAUUACAUUUAAUAUAAACUUUAUAAAAUAUUAAUAGUUAUGCAAAUACAAAAUAUUUUUGUUAAACAACUAUUAAGGAAAUUAUUUCAAAAAAUCGCUUUUAUGCAAACCAACAAACGCCUUCACCAGCUUUUAACCAAAAUCAAUUUCAAACCAAAAUCAGUUCUGAGAACUAUGUGUUUCAUAAUUAGACCAAACUAGCAUAUUCAUUUUGAUUUUAGUAUUUAAAACUUAUUUUACUCCGUGACUUUUCGAACAGCACAAUCCUAUGGACUUAAUGACUUACUUGGAAUUGCCGUACUAAGUUCUAUAUGUAAAUAUUAGUCCAAUCUUGAAAGACUAAGACUAGUAUGCUUCUCAUAUACUCAUCAUUAUCAAAUUAGUUGUCUUGCAAUGCAAUGAGAUAAUACUUUGACAAUACCGACACGAGCCUGGUCAUGGCAGUGACCUGUGCACAGGUUAGGGGUGGCAAUCUAACUCGCUGUCCGCCAGCUCCUGUUCGGUCGAAAUAAGCUCGAGCUCGAAUCGCCGUUUAAUAACAAUGCCUGAACACGAACUGAAUUUUCGGCUCAUUUAAUAAAAGAGCCGAACACACAAGUGGGGUCAGCUCAAUGUGUUCGCGCUCGAAUGCAUAUAUUUUAUAUUUAUAUAAUUUAUUUAAUUAUAUUUUAUGAUAUAAAUAAAUAAUUAUAUAUAAUAUUAUUUUAUUAUUUAAUCAACUUUUUACAAAAUAAAAAUAUAAAUGCGAGCUAGAAAUAUAUAAAAGACAUAUUGAAUUAUCAACUUUAGAUCAUAAGUCUAAUGAACAUAAGAUAUUAUAAAUUUAUUUUUAUAUAUAUUCACGCUAAUCCUUAUUAACUUAUUUUCGUGGUUGCCACUCGUAAAGCCAUGAGUUCGGCUCUUAAAACGAGCCGAAUACGAACUGAAUUUUUUGGCUCGAUAUUUUAACGAGUCAAUUCGUGUUUGGCUCGUUUACACCCCUAGCACAGGUUCAAACUACCCGGAAACUUUUCCUUUUAUUUUUACUUUUUUAUAUAGGAGUGGAGAGGGUGAGAUGAAAGGAUUCUCUUUACCUGAAAAUAACCUUUUCUUCCUACAGUUUCUUUGUUGUUUCUACAGGCCUCAUUUUAAUCUUUUCUUCUCUAUAAUAUUUACUUGUUGAUUCUUGCAUGCAAUUUUUUAAACACAGAAGUUAAAUAGUUUUUAUUUAAAAUUAUUUAAAAGAAAAUUUUACUAAAAGAAUAGAGAGUAUUUUUCUAACAACAACAUUAUGUGCAAGUUACGCUAAAUUUUUAUGUAAUUGUAAGGGAAAACUUCAAAAACCCCCCUGUGGUUUCGCACUUUUUCACUUUAGUACCCUGUGGUUUAAAGUGUAUCAAUUUGCCCCUCUGUGGUUUUGUUUUUAUCUUUUCAGCAGCUUUUUUCUUAAUAUCUCGUUAAAUUAUAUACAAAAAAUUUCAGAUACCCACCUAGAUUUAUCGAAUAUUUACUUUAGAAAUUGUAUACAAAAAAGUACACAAUUGUGACAAGAUUAAGGAAUUGUCCACCGAUUGUAGCAAUAUAGAAUGGCACUGGGACGUGAACUUUUAUUCUUCGUAGGGUUAAAUGCAUACAGAACCUUACAAAUAUAGUAAAUUAUAAAUAUAUUUUUAUAAAAUUUAAUUUUUAUGUGUUGUCUCUAUAAAAAUUUUAAUAUUUUUAAAUAUAUUGCUUGGAUUAAAUGAUUCUGAAAAAUUAUGAAAUUUAGUUUUCAAAUAUUUUUAAUAGUGUAGAUCAAGUCUAACGGAGUUGAUCGUCAUUUGGAAGUCGCAACAUUGAAAACAACUUUAUAACAUGGAGGCCUCCGUGCUACUAAUAAUAUACCAGCCUAGCUAUAUAUAAGCAUGUUGAGCUCUUGUGGUUUUUUUUUUAUAGAGAGAGAGAAAGAGGUAGCAUGCUACAUGUUUCGUUUAUUUUUUUUAGAAAAAAAUUUAGCUAAAAAUGUGAAUCAACUAGGAUUCAAAUUUGAGACCUCGAAUACUAACCACCAAGCCCUUUGCCACUUACGUUUAUGACGGUCGGUAGCUCCUAUGCUUUUAAAAGCACAAGAGCUCAACUAUAUAUAUGUGUGUGUGUGUGUGUGUUUGUGUGCCAUCUGGCUUGUAUAAUUUUGGUAGCAUAGAGAUCUCCAUAAUAUCAAAUUAUUUUUAAUAAUGAAAUAUCUGAAUCAUCGUUCGAUCACGUUAGACAUAAACUAUGCUGUUAAAAGUAAUUACUAAUAAAAUUUCCAUAUUUUAUAGACACUAUUUGAUUAGUUCAAAAGUCUCAAAAUUAAUAAUUUUAAUGACCGAUGUGAUAGAUUUGUAAGUUUACCGGUAUAAAACAAUCCAAAUCUAGUAAAAUUCUUUAAAAAAAUUUUGUCACUAUUUAGGAAUUCUGAUCUAAAAUUUAAGUCUUUACUAUUAUUUUUUAUGAGAUUUUUAUUUUCCGUCGUAAUUGUGAGAUUAUUCAUUUUAAAGAUAAGUGAUGCAAAAAAAUUACAAAAUUAAUUUUUAAAUAUUUAUAAUGUAACGAUCCGACCCGUCAGUAAUAAUAACAUGUUAGACCCAAACUACCGGCCCAAAAUAUUUAACCCCAGUUAUUAUUACUAGUAUAUCCGUCACUUAUAAAUCCGUCAGACUCUCUCAUAUUAUUCGAUGUAGGACUAUUGGGAUGUGACAUAUAAUAAUACAGAUCAUAUCUAAUGGAGCCGACAACAACGAUGGUGAUUGGUCAGAGAAAGAAGAAAGAUGAACCAGCACGACAGAUCGUAGGCUAAAAAUGAAAAAUUAAAACAAUCCUUCUUUUUCCUCCUUUUUCUUCUUCCUUCAUGUUACUGAAGCGGAAGAGUGCUUUCGGGCAUCCUGAAAUCAACCAUCCGUUAGAAUUUGAGGCUGCGUCCGAGCGCCCGCAGGUGGUGAUUGAGAAAAUUUGGGAGGACGAUAUCACGCCAAAGGAUGACCAAAACAUUUUUCCUCUAUUAUUAUUCUGACACUAGUGAAAUACCCGCGAUAAUGCAAAUAAAAAUAUUUUUAUAAUAAAUUUUAUUUUUUUUAUAUUUUUAUAUAGUUUUAUAAGUCUAAUUAUUAAUUAAAUAAAAGUUAUAUAAAAAUAAUUUAUUUAAUAGUUAAAUCUAUUUAAAUAAAAGUCAUUAAAAUUGGUAUAUGCGCAAGUAAAUUUAUACAUCAAUUUAUUUUAUAAAGAUUUAUAUGAGAAGGAUUCGAGAUAAAUCUAUCAAAAUAAUUUUUAAAAAGUCAAUAAAUAGAAGGAAAAUAAAUUUGUAGAAGAAAUUGUUUAAUAAAAUUAAUUAUAUAUAUACACAUAUACACUAUAUUUCUAAAAUUUUNGCUGACUGGACGUCAUGGGGAAGAGUCUCGCGCCCCGCCCGUUUUGGCUGCAGGCUCCUGGGGAUGUUGCGGUCGAGCUGGACAGCACACGACGGUUACGGAUGCUCCCGUCAGCCCCCGUCUGCAAUGCUACUGACUAUUCUACACUGCAAGUCUGCAGCCCUUCAUUUGCACCCAAGUGUGAGUCAAAAUUAGUGCCAGAAUACCGAACAUAUCUAGACUAGAGUAAGUGAUAAAAAAUUUAACAGUUGAUAUUAGGAGUUUACAGUUAAAAUUCUAAUUAAUUUAUAUUUUCAGCUAAAUUUAUUUUUAAAUAAAAUAAACGAAAUAGGUAGCAUGCUACUUGUCUUUCAAAAAAUAAAAAAAAUGUUCCGGAAUGUGUAUUUAUUAUUUUUUAAUUAUUUUAGAAUUUGAAUAUUUGUAUAUAUAUAUAUUUUUUGUAGGAUUUGAUAUAAUAAAUUAAAUUCGUUGACCUAUGGACAAAAAAGUCUUGGAGUCUUUUUUUACUAUAAAUAAUUCUUCCUAUUUUAUUAUUAUUUAUCGUCCUUAAACUCCUGAUAACUUGUUAAAUUAUUUUUUUUUCUAUUUCGUUAUUAAAUGCAUUGUCGCUAAUGCUUGCAAAAUAAAAUCUUUCUCCAUUUUUUUCAGUGUUUUUGUACCCAACCGAUCAAUAGAUCUGCUCUGUUUUUAUUCUAACAAUAAUAAUAAUUCUCAGCCCAUCUUAUGAUUCCUUGACAUGAAUUUUAGAAAUAUAUAAAGCUUUCACCUACAACAAAAGCGAUGAAUCAGAAAUUGCUCUAAUAGCCGUGAGCAGCGACUUAAGAAAAUUCUGUUCAUAAUAAGAAAGCAAAAAGAUUGUGUAGAUGCCCUCAGAAAAAGUGUAAAAUUUGCACUACUUUUUGGAUGUAUGAAUGACACUGCUCUUAAAUUCUACUGUUUAAUAGAUUUUUGAUGAUUCAAAAUUUGGGUCAAACUGGAGGGUUCAAAUGGUAUGAUUUGACUUUCACUCGAGAUAUACGUGCUAGAGUAAAAAAUUGACUAAGCUCUAGGUAUAUGUGCUAGAUUUAGUUGGAUUUAAUUUGGGUUUCAUUCCAGAAACAUGUGCUAGAGCAUUUGACUAAGCCCCAAAUAUAUGUAUUAAGAUUUGUCGAAUUUAAUUUGAAUAAACUCUAAAUAUAUGUGUUAGAGCUCAAUCGAACUUGAUUUGAAUGAGUCGUGACCUAGUCUAUAAAAAGGUUCGGUUCAAUCUUUUAAAUCGUAUAAAUCAAAAAAUCAUUUUGAACCAUUUGAACGAGCGUUUCAAUUAUCGAAUAGGUGAAUUGACCCAGGUUUAACAAAACUGUUCAAAUUUUUUUUUUAUUAAGCCAUAUUAAAAUCUAACUGCUUCAAAUCAACUUAAUUAAUUAACCAUUUUUUUUUCUAUUUUAAUAAACCAGUCUUACAAAAGGUGAAACUUGAAAACUGAUAUUUACUUAAUUGGUUCUAAAAAUCAAUAUUCAAUAAUUAUGUACGAUACCCUAGAAUAGUUUUAACAGCGUGGAUUGUUGGUUUGAACACCCUAAAAUUGAAAACGAGACUAUAAUACCGGAGCUCUAGUACUAUAGAUAGUAUAAAAGACUAUAUAUAUAUAUAGAGUUGGACUGAGCUACUAUUAGUAGCAAAAUCCUAUUGUUGCUACCAGUUUUUUAGCCUUUGGAUCAACUCUUUUUAUUAUUUCUAACCAUUGGAUUAAAUACUAUAACCCAGUGGGGACUACUCAACCCUAAGGAAACUACUCAACUCUAACCGACUAAUAUCAUUCUGACCCUACAAUUUUUCACCCAAGGGUUAAAAACUUGAUAGCAAAAAGAGCGUUUUACUAUUAGUAUAGGAGGGUCUGGGGAGACACAUGUAGUAGAAGAAGAAUAGAAAUAGAUGUUGUACGCUAUCACAACACGUUCUAUGUGUGUAUAGUAUGCACCCUAUAUUUGUGACAUGUUUUCAAUAGUUUGAAUGUUAGUGUGUUAAUUUGCGUGUCAGCUCUUCUUAUUCCGGGAAUGAAGUCGGAACUAAGAUUAAGAUUUAGAUUUGGCAGAAAAAAAUUCAACCUCGGAUAAUAAAAAAAAAGGUUUGUCCGGUUAAUUGGUCAUCUAUUGCUAGCGAUAGUAGCGUUAAUAUACAUAAGGAGGAGUAAAAGUAUAAAAGCUGAAGGGAAAGGACUUAUUUGUGAUUUUUAAACAUUGAGGGGGACCAUGGCUACUGUGAGCCUCACGAUAGCUCCGUCCCUACUUUUCUGAAGGAGGAAUAAGUCUGCCAUCACACCUACUGUGAGACCCCAGAUAGUCCUAUAUAUAAAGAUAUAAUAGGGCUAAACUCUUAACCCGGCUUAAGCAUUUUGGGUGGUGGCAAGGCCCAAGAGGUUAAGAGAGUUAAGCGUGCUAGGACGGGAGUAGUCCUAGGAUGGGUGACCCCCUGGGAAGCUGGGGCGUCACAGAUGGUAUCAGAGCCAAUUACCAGCCGGAAGUGUGAGAUGAAUCUCGGCUGAGCCAGGGUCUAGAUGACGGGCUAGCGAGACGAGUCUCACAUCGCCUGGUACUUGUGAGUAUGAGCCUGACGAGGACGUCAGGGCUUAAAGGAGGCGAGAUUGUGAGACCCCAGAUAGUCCUAUAUAUAAAGAUAUAAUAGGGCUAAACUCUUAACCCGGCUUAAGCAUUUUGGGUGGUGGCAAGGCCUAAGAGGUUAAGAGAGUUAAGCGUGCUAGGACGGGAGUAGUCCUAGGAUGGGUGACCCCCUGGGAAGCUGGGGUGUCACACCUACGCCACACAAUAUAUAACCAGUCAAUCAUAUCUCUCUUUUUUUAGAAAAAAGUAUAGCAAACUUUUUUUUCAAUAAUUAUAAUAGCAUGGAUGAAUCUAAAAAAAAAAUAAUCUGAUUGAUUGGGAACGCCACACUAGCAAUAUAAUUGGCACUUUCUAGACCUUUUCCUUCGUAACAAUGACAUCCCCAUUUUAGUUUUCAAAGAGGAACAGUUGUUGCCUCUUUAACUAUUUUAAUUUUGAUUGAUAUUCUUUUGCUUCUAACUGUCCAAUUUGAAUUAUUUUUACAAGUUGAUUUAGAGAUUUUAUUAAAUUUAAUGGGCCAUUCUAUUAAUUUUAACCGCCUAGAAUAAUUUUUUAGCUAAUGGAAUUGCAGAUUUCAUUAAUUUUUUAACUCUUUUGCGCUCUACAAUUUUGAAAAUUUUGUAACUACGAAGAUCAGGGAUUUAAGUGUCG
RNAcentral lists this long non-coding RNA (27052 nucleotides) under Ananas comosus (pineapple). RNAcentral describes it as "long non-coding RNA (ACOM_LNC000434)". Lineage: Eukaryota; Viridiplantae; Streptophyta; Magnoliopsida; Poales; Bromeliaceae. The record is from RNAcentral.